Molecule: transfer RNA, 87 nt
Filed under: Actinoplanes utahensis
Lineage: Bacteria; Bacillati; Actinomycetota; Actinomycetes; Micromonosporales; Micromonosporaceae
Also listed under: 2 other names
Description: tRNA-Leu
Rfam family: tRNA
About the family: Transfer RNA (tRNA) molecules are approximately 80 nucleotides in length. Their secondary structure includes four short double-helical elements and three loops (D, anti-codon, and T loops).
Source: RNAcentral
GCCGGGGUGGUGGAAUCGGUAUACACAAAUGACUCAAAAUCAUUCGCUCGAAAGGGCAUGCGGGUUCGACUCCCGUCCCCGGCACCA